Molecule: non-coding RNA, 1760 nt
Organism: Rattus norvegicus (Norway rat)
Lineage: Eukaryota; Metazoa; Chordata; Mammalia; Rodentia; Muridae
Source: RefSeq, a predicted model, not a curated record
ACCAGUUCCACAGCUCUGGAUUCAGUUCGAUGUGUGUUGGGAGGGUCUAGUGAGUGCCUACUAACGUAGGCAGCAAUUGGAAUUUUGUUACCAUUCUCUCUCCUGAUAACAAGGCUCAGGUGGCUCUGCGGAGAUGGCUGGGUAGUCAGGAGUGCUGGCUGCUCUUCCACAGAACCCAGGUUCAGUUCUGAACACCCACAUCAGACAACGUUCACCUGCCUCUAACUCCAGUUCCGGGAAACCUGACACUCUCUUCUGACCUCUGUGGACAUCUACAUACACAGGAGACACUCAUACAGACACACAUAUAUACAUAAAUAAAAUAAAUCUUUUAAAAAUAAAAUAUUGAAAAGAAAACAAUCAUCCGUUGGUGAAGGACUGAGGCCAGAGCUGUGUGAGAACGGGAAGUAUUUCUUCCAUUCUUGUCUCUCGUGGAGGCCUAUGUUGGAUUCCAGAGGUAGGAAAAGGAGUUUCCACAAACUCCUCAUUAUCGCUUCAUCUUCUGGCAUUGGAAUUCUUUAAAAUUUUCACUUGAAGUCUUUCAAUCUGCUCUAGACUAACUAGAUGUGGGGUGGCCACUGUCAUCCCCCAAAAGAGAUAUAUAUCUUUCCUCCAUCUUGAUGGGGGGGGGGACCUCCCAUCCUUAAUGGUAUUUAUUUGUAUGCCAAGAACCCGUGUGGAUAAAAUCAUUACGACCCAUUCCUAGAACGUGACAUCUGUGAGCCAGCCUGCUCUGCAGACCCAGCACAACACUGACAAUGUGAGACCUCUCCCUGUGUACGAGAUACAGCCACCGUAGACAGGAAUCCGCAGUGGUGAUCUUCAGCGGUGGAGUAGCUGAUGUUAAACUGCCAUAUCCCAGACCACACAAGGAGCUAAAGAGUACCAGAGAGCACUCAGAUCAUCAGAAAAGUCGGAUGGCAUAAGAACAACAGUGGACACGGAGAGCCUGAGAGGUGGUAGAGACUCCAGAGGACAAAAAGGCCGUAAGGAUCUGAAAGUGGAGGUUGUGUGUAUGAAGACUGCAAGGCCAGCCACUGCGUCAGAGGCUAUAAAGAGCUCAGGGACUUGGCCCUCAGCACUCAGGAGCUGUGGCACUAGGAGGCCUCUGGGCAAUCGGCUCUAAGCCUAGAGUACUAAGCCUCUGGCCUCUAGUACAGUAAGCUUCCUGCUUUGGAAGCUCGGAGCCUCCAGUCUCCAGUUCCCAAGACUUAACAGCUCUAGGCCUCUGGAUUUCUAAGGCCAGCUUGUGAAUCUCUGGGACUCAAGGUCAUCAACGGGAAGGGACCUGCCCUUUGCUGUUCGUGACUUCUACCCAGAGAGCAAAACAACCCCUAGCCAUCUUUUUAUGAGAGAACACAUGUGGCUCCUUGGGACAGCCCCAGGAGUAGACUCCCCAGGUGAUGUUGACAAUGAUCAGUUGAUGCUUCCGGCUGCCUUUCACCAGGACCUCGGAUCAGACAGAAGCAAGCAGUGAGUACUAUGGCUGGCUUAAUUCGUUCCUGCCAUGGAGGAACAAGUCUGAUCUAUCGCCAGUAAUUAACCUUUGCACCUACAGACCACAUCGGUUUGGAGGACAAUCAAAAGCUGAGCAAAUAAGGGCUGGAGAGAUGGCUCAGCGGUUGAGAGCACUGACUGUUCUUCCAGAGGUCCUGAGUUCAAAUCCCAGCAACCACAUGGUGGCCCACAACCAUCUGUAACAAGUCCUGAUCCCCUCUUCUGGUGUAACUGAAGACAGUGGCACAGUGGCAGUGUUCUCA